This 755-nucleotide ribosomal RNA is filed under the name uncultured bacterium. Its description in RNAcentral is "bacterial SSU rRNA". It matches the Rfam family "Bacterial small subunit ribosomal RNA", at positions 107 to 862 of the family's 1533-position model. The record is from RNAcentral.
UGACAAACACGUACGCAACCUUCCUUUAACUGGAGAAUAGCCCGGGGAAACCCGGAUUAAUACUCCGUAACAUUAUGAAGUGGCAUCACUUUAUAAUUAUAGCUCCGGCGGUUGAAGAUGGGCGUGCGUCUGAUUAGGUAGUUGGCGGGGUAACGGCCCACCAAGCCUACGAUCAGUAACUGGUGUGAGAGCACGACCAGUCACACGGGCACUGAGACACGGGCCCGACUCCUACGGGAGGCAGCAGUAAGGAAUAUUGGUCAAUGGACGCAAGUCUGAACCAGCCAUGCCGCGUGGAGGAUGAAGGUCCUCUGGAUUGUAAACUUCUUUUAUUUGGGAAGAAACCACCGAUUUCUAUUGGUGUUGACGGUACCAGAUGAAUAAGCACCGGCUAACUCCGUGCCAGCAGCCGCGGUAAUACGGAGGGUGCAAGCGUUAUCCGGAUUCACUGGGUUUAAAGGGUGCGUAGGCGGGUUGGUAAGUCCGUGGUGAAAUCUCCAAGCUUAACUUGGAAACUGCCGUGGAUACUAUCAAUCUUGAAUAUCGUGGAGGUGAGCGGAAUAUGUCAUGUAGCGGUGAAAUGCUUAGAUAUGACAUAGAACACCCAUUGCGAAGGCAGCUCGCUACACGGUUAUUGACGCUGAGGCACGAAAGCGUGGGGAUCAAACAGGAUUAGAUACCCUGGUAGUCCACGCCCCUAAACGAUGAUUACUCGACAUCAGCGAUACACUGUUGGUGUCUGAGCGAAAGCAUUA